UCCAUUCUGUUGUUGACGUUACUAGCUAUCAUGAAGAUGCCUAGAUUCGUACUUACUAGCAGUUACCAGUUGACGGCCAAUUGCUUCUCACAACCACGCAGGACUGGCUAUUUUGUGACCGUUUGGCCCCCUGAAAUGAAGCCAGAUUCAGGUGCUAUGAAUAAGACAUUUCCAAGAUCAACCUACGCCAAAGCAUGCAUUUGAAAAUC
This 209-nucleotide long non-coding RNA is filed under the name Hordeum vulgare. RNAcentral describes it as "long non-coding RNA (HVUL_LNC016464)". Lineage: Eukaryota; Viridiplantae; Streptophyta; Magnoliopsida; Poales; Poaceae. The record is from RNAcentral.